RNAcentral lists this ribosomal RNA (506 nucleotides) under uncultured bacterium. Its description in RNAcentral is "partial 16S ribosomal RNA". It matches the Rfam family "Bacterial small subunit ribosomal RNA", at positions 28 to 505 of the family's 1533-position model. The record is from RNAcentral.
GACGAACGCUGGCGGCGUGCCUAAUACAUGCAAGUCGAACGCUUCUUUCCUCCCGAGUGCUUGCACUCAAUUGGAAAGAGGAGUGGCGGACGGGUGAGUAACACGUGGGUAACCUACCCAUCAGAGGGGGAUAACACUUGGAAACAGGUGCUAAUACCGCAUAACAGUUUAUGCCGCAUGGCAUAAGAGUGAAAGGCGCUUUCGGGUGUCGUUGAUGGAUGGACCCGCGGUGCAUUAGCUAGUUGGUGAGGUAACGGCUCACCAAGGCCACGAUGCAUAGCCGACCUGAGAGGGUGAUCGGCCACACUGGGACUGAGACACGGCCCAGACUCCUACGGGAGGCAGCAGUAGGGAAUCUUCGGCAAUGGACGAAAGUCUGACCGAGCAACGCCGCGUGAGUGAAGAAGGUUUUCGGAUCGUAAAACUCUGUUGUUAGAGAAGAACAAGGACGUUAGUAACUGAACGUCCCCUGACGGUAUCUAACCAGAAAGCCACGGCUAACUACG